Molecule: ribosomal RNA, 253 nt
Filed under: uncultured bacterium
Lineage: Bacteria
Description: partial 16S ribosomal RNA
Rfam family: Bacterial small subunit ribosomal RNA
Source: RNAcentral
UACAGAGGUGGCAAGCGUUGUUCGGAAUUACUGGGCGUAAAGGGCGCGUAGGCGGCCUUCUAAGUCGGACGUGAAAUCCCCAGGCUUAACUUGGGAACUGCGUCCGAUACUGGAGGGCUUGAGUGCGGGAGAGGGAUGUGGAAUUCCAGGUGUAGCGGUGAAAUGCGUAGAUAUCUGGAGGAACACCGGUGGCGAAGGCGGCAUCCUGGACCGACACUGACGCUGAGGAGCGAAAGCCAGGGGAGCAAACGGG